GAAAAAAUGGCUACCGAAGGUCCCAAGCCCUGCGUUUACCUUCAAGACAUGGAAGAAGUGAAAAAAGUAUUCGCACGCUUCGACGCGAAUGGCGACGGCAUGAUCUCCGGCGACGAACUUUCCGGCGUACUGAAAGCCCUAGGAUCCGACACUUCGCCGGAAGAAGUUGCACGUAUGAUGGCCGAAAUUGAUACCGAUAAGGACGGUUGCAUUAACCUAGAUGAAUUUGCAGAUUUUUGCAAAAACGACGAAUCCGUCGACGGCGGCGCUAAGGAACUGAAGGAAGCGUUUGAUCUUUACGAUCAGGAUCAUAACGGAAGGAUUUCUGCUACGGAACUUCAUCAGAUCCUGAACCGCUUGGGCCAGAAUUGUACCCUUCAGGAUUGUACCAGAAUGAUCACGUCCGUUGAUGCAAACGGUGACGGUUACGUUUGCUUUGAAGAGUUUAAGAAGAUGA
Molecule: unclassified non-coding RNA, 457 nt
Filed under: Hevea brasiliensis (rubber tree)
Lineage: Eukaryota; Viridiplantae; Streptophyta; Magnoliopsida; Malpighiales; Euphorbiaceae
Source: RNAcentral